RNAcentral lists this long non-coding RNA (366 nucleotides) under Gopherus agassizii (Agassiz's desert tortoise). RNAcentral describes it as "lncRNA (ENSGAGG00000008024.1)". The record is from RNAcentral. Lineage: Eukaryota; Metazoa; Chordata; Testudines; Testudinidae.
CCAACAAGACAACUCUAGCCUGGCUGCUGGACACAUACCCAUUCCUGCCACCGGAGGAACGCCCUGUGGAGUGCACCAUUCACCCUGGCGAGGUGCUGUAUUUCCCCGAUCGCUGGUGGCACGCCACCCUCAACUUGGACACAAGUGUCUUCAUCUCCACCUUCCUGGGGUAGAAACUCAGGGCUUUGCCUACCAGCCUGCCAUUCCUCAGGAGCUGAAUUGUUCACUUCCCUCCCGCCAAAGCCCUGGGAUGCUGCUGGUGAAUUCUAGCCAUCUCUCUCCACUGUAACCCUGCAGGCAGAGCUGGACUCUGGCAGUGGGGCUGAUCCAGCUCUAAUCCAUCUAGGAUUUAUCCUGGUCUAUAUG